AGAGUUUGAUCCUGGCUCAGAACGAACGCUGGCGGCAGGCUUAACACAUGCAAGUCGAGCGCUGUAGCAAUACAGAGCGGCGCACGGGUGAGUAACACGUGGGAACAUGCCUUUCGGUUCGGAAUAACUCAGGGGAAACUUGUGCUAAUACCGGAUACGCCCUUACGGGGAAAGAUUUAUUGCCGAAAGAGUGGCCCGCGUUGGAUUAGCUAGUUGGCGGGGUAAAAGCCCACCAAGGCGACGAUCCAUAGCUGGUCUGAGAGGACGACCAGCCACACUGGGACUGAGACACGGCCCAGACUCCUACGGGAGGCAGCAGUGGGGAAUCUUGGACAAUGGGGGAAACCCUGAUCCAGCCAUGCCGCGUGAGUGAUGAAGGCCCUAGGGUUGUAAAACUCUUUCGGCGGGGACGAUAAUGACGGUACCCGCAGAAGAAGCUCCGGCUANCUUCGUGCCAGCAGCCGCGGUAAUACGAAGGGGGCUAGCGUUGUUCGGAAUUACUGGGCGUAAAGCGCGCGCAGGCGGUCCUUUAAGUCAGGGGUGAAAGCCCAGAGCUCGACUCUGGAACUGGNNUUUGAAACUACGANGACUUGGGUNACGGGANAGGUGAGUGGAAUUCCCGAGUGUAGAGGUGAAAUUCCGUAGNAUNUUCGGGAANAACGNCCNGUGGCGANGGCGGGGUCACUGG
This 688-nucleotide ribosomal RNA is filed under the name uncultured bacterium. RNAcentral's name for it is "bacterial SSU rRNA". It matches the Rfam family "Bacterial small subunit ribosomal RNA", at positions 8 to 732 of the family's 1533-position model. The record is from RNAcentral.